Molecule: ribosomal RNA, 225 nt
Filed under: uncultured bacterium
Lineage: Bacteria
Description: partial 16S ribosomal RNA
Rfam family: Bacterial small subunit ribosomal RNA
Source: RNAcentral
UACAGAGGAGCCAAGCGUUGUCCGGAUUGACUGGGCGUAAAGCGCACGCAGGCGGACGCGCGCGUGGGGUGUGAAAUCUGGCCGCUUAACGGCCAGGGGCCAUCCCAUACGGCGGGUCUGGAGCGAUGCAGAGGUCGGUGGAAUUGCCGGUGUAGUGGUGAAAUGCGUAGAGAUCGGCAGGAACACCCAGGGGGAAACCAGCCGACUGGGCAUCUGCUGACGCUG